This 440-nucleotide ribosomal RNA is filed under the name uncultured bacterium. RNAcentral describes it as "partial 16S ribosomal RNA". It matches the Rfam family "Bacterial small subunit ribosomal RNA", at positions 338 to 795 of the family's 1533-position model. The record is from RNAcentral.
CCUACGGGCGGCAGCAGUGGGGAAUAUUGCACAAUGGGGGAAACCCUGAUGCAGUGACGCCGCGUGAGUGAAGAAGUAUUUCGGUACGUAAAGCUCUAUCAGCAGGGAAGAAAAUGACGGUACCUGACUAAGAAGCCCCGACUAACUACGUGCCAGCAGCCGCGGUAAUACGUAGGGGGCAAGCGUUAUCCGGAUUUACUGGGUGUAAAGGGAGCGUAGACGGCAGCGCAAGUCUGGAGUGAAAUCCCAUGGCUUAACCAUGGAACUGCUUUGGAAACUGUGCAGCUAGAGUGCAGGAGAGGUAAGCGGAAUUCCUAGUGUAGCGGUGAAAUGCGUAGAUAUUAGGAGGAACACCAGUGGCGAAGGCGGCUUACUGGACUGUAACUGACGUUGAGGCUCGAAAGCGUGGGGAGCAAACAGGAUUAGAUACCCGAGUAGUC